This 492-nucleotide ribosomal RNA is filed under the name uncultured bacterium. Its description in RNAcentral is "bacterial SSU rRNA". It matches the Rfam family "Bacterial small subunit ribosomal RNA", at positions 28 to 517 of the family's 1533-position model. The record is from RNAcentral.
GACGAACGCUGGCGGCGUGGAUUAGGCAUGCAAGUCGAACGGUAGGAUACUUUCGGGUAUCUGAGAGUGGCGAACGGGUGAGUAACACGUAGGUGAUCUACCCUCAAGAUUGGGACAACCCAGGGAAACUUGGGCUAAUACCGGAUGAAAGCAGCAGUGAUGUUGUUUGAAAGGUGGCGUAAGCUGCCGUUUGGGGAUGAGCCUGCGCUCUAUUAGUUAGUUGGCGGGGUAAAGGCCCACCAAGGCGAUGAUAGAUAGGCGGCCUUAACGGGUGGUCGCCCACACUGGGAUUGAGAUACGGCCCAGACUCCUACGGGAGACAGCAGUCGAGAAUAGUCUACAAUGGCCGAAAGGCUGAUAGUGCGACGCCGCGUGAACGAAGAAGCCUCGGGUGUAAGUUCUUUAUAUGUGAGCAGUGCUUUUCAUGUUAACAGCAUGGGAGAGAGAUAUUAGCAUAUGAAUAAGCAACGGCUAACUCCGUGCCAGCAGCCG